UAUCAGGUUGGUGCAAAAGUAAUGCGGCUUUUGCCAUUAUUUUUAAUUAUUUAGUUUUAAUGGCCAAAACCUCAAUUACUUUUGCACCAACCUAAUAGAUGC
RNAcentral lists this microRNA precursor (102 nucleotides) under Chlorocebus sabaeus (green monkey). RNAcentral's name for it is "miRNA (ENSCSAG00000024317.1)". Lineage: Eukaryota; Metazoa; Chordata; Mammalia; Primates; Cercopithecidae. The record is from RNAcentral.